This 89-nucleotide non-coding RNA is filed under the name fish gut metagenome. Its description in RNAcentral is "Purine riboswitch". It matches the Rfam family "Purine riboswitch aptamer". Rfam says of the family: Riboswitches are metabolite binding domains within certain messenger RNAs that serve as precision sensors for their corresponding targets. Allosteric rearrangement of mRNA structure is mediated by ligand binding, and this results in modulation of gene expression. A class of riboswitches that selectively recognises guanine and becomes saturated at concentrations as low as 5 nM. The record is from RNAcentral.
UUAAAACAAUUAUUACUCGUAUAUCCCUAUAAUAUGGUUAGGAGUUUCUACGGCAUACCUUAAAAUCUGCUGCUAUGAGUGAAGAUAUA